This is a long non-coding RNA of Ctenopharyngodon idella (grass carp), 1383 nucleotides long. RefSeq lists it as uncharacterized. The transcript is spliced from 3 exons. NCBI's taxonomy places the organism in Eukaryota, Metazoa, Chordata, Actinopteri, Cypriniformes, Xenocyprididae. The record is from RefSeq and is a predicted model, not a curated record.
GACCGGAAGUAUAAAAGGAGUGCCUGGAGAAACAGUCAUUAUCUUUUCGUCUUUCGGGUCUGUUCUGUCUGAUCGCGACUAUAUCGACUCCGCUGUCUCUGAAGCCACAGAUUGCAGUCUGUCAGAAGAGAAGUUCUUGAAGUCACUGGAGAAGGUGUCCUCAUUCAGUAACAUGGCUGCCCAUAUGAAGGAAGUGAUGCACUGGUGCUGGGGCUGUAAGUUUCAUCAAGAGCGUAAGCACCUGGCCUUCUUGUGCCCGAACUGUCUGAGGAUGGAAAGUCUGGAAGCUGAAGGCGUCAGGUACGGCCCUGUACCAUCACCACCCCCCGCUGUUGCUGAGUAGCUACUUGAAUCAAUGCUGCGUCAAAGAAUACGGAUGAAAUAAUGCCAUAAGCUGUAUUAUUAUUUUUAAAGGACCCUUUAGACUAAAGAGAUGUAUGGUACCUCACUCACUUUCCUUUCAACACAAAACUGCACACACAUAUACCUUUGGGCACAAAGUUAAAGUUUAAAAACAAAAUAAAACAUUUUGAGGUGUUUAUAUAACUGCUUUAACCCUAUGACUCUGGACACCUAAGUACAAAGUUCAUUGAUGGAAUUGCUGUAUACUGUUCUUUCAGGGAAUGUAAAAAAAUAAAAACAUAAAAAUUAGCUUGUUUAAUGUUUUUUACUCUCUGUUCAAGGUCCCUUUUUAAUUGUUAAGCAUAAUUUCCCACUCAUAAUUUUAAAAAGUUUAGUGCAGCUUUUAAGCCUGGGUUAUGAAGCCCUGUCCCAGGGUUAGCACGGCUUUUGUUAACAAUAAGCACUCAUUACACUAUGAGACUGAUUUUACCAUAACUUAUCAAAAUGAGGGUUUUCAGAGUAACAUUUUGAAAUUUUAAGUGUACAGGUUUAAAAAAAGUACUGUGAAAAAAUAAUUCCUGACUAUAUAGUUUCAGUAUUGUUUAGGAUAUUUGGCCAAUUUAAUGGAUUUUAGUGUCAGGUUGUGUGCUUGUCAAAUGCUGUACUCGUUCAAUCAAAUAAUCUUGUAAUAUACAAAAAAGAAUGUUAACCUUGGGGUGAAAUCUCAAAAUCUGACUUAGUUACCACAAUUAAGUAAUGUCCAAAAAAUUUGUAAUGAGGACCAAAACACACUAUGUUUGUAACUCACUAAACUCACUAUGUCUCCCAAUAAACCUGGGAAAAGAAACGAACCUGGGAGAUCACUUUCAUCAGUAAGAAGUCCAUUUGUUAUCCAUUCACUGGGUUUAACCAAUUUGCUAGAAUUUAAGUUCAGUAAUUAACUAAUUCUAUAAAAAGCCUUGACAACUGAUCUGGAACUUGAUCUUAUCAUCAUAUCAUGUUGAUAAGUUUAAGUUUAAGCUCCAAAAGCAAGAGCAGAAG